UCUCCGUAGGUGAACCUGCGGAGGGAUCAUUACCAAAGCUGGAGGGCCCACGCGCCCCGGUCCCCAACCCUUUGUAGACCAAACCACUUUUGACUCGGCCGCAGUGCGGCCCCCUCCGCCUCCGGUGGACCAUUUUAUCCUGUCUCUGUACGUGGGAGUCUUUGUUAAAUGAAUAAAAACUUUUAACAACGGAUCUCUUGGUUCUG
RNAcentral lists this unclassified non-coding RNA (206 nucleotides) under plant metagenome. RNAcentral's name for it is "partial contains small subunit ribosomal RNA, internal transcribed spacer 1, and 5.8S ribosomal RNA". The record is from RNAcentral.